This is a long non-coding RNA of Leucoraja erinaceus (little skate), 229 nucleotides long. RefSeq lists it as uncharacterized. The transcript is spliced from 4 exons. NCBI's taxonomy places the organism in Eukaryota, Metazoa, Chordata, Chondrichthyes, Rajiformes, Rajidae. The record is from RefSeq and is a predicted model, not a curated record.
AUUGUGCGCCUGCGCGGUAGAACGCGGCUCAGCCCCAUAAGCAAAAUGGCGGCGGCGGCGGCGGCAGCGACGCGACUUGUGCUGCUGGUGUGUGGAGUUGCUGUCUUCCGGACCGCUGUGGUGUCUUCCUUUGCUAUAGAUUUGGAUGACUCGUUUAAAGAAAAUAGAGAAGAUGACAUUUGGUUGGUAGAUUUUUAUGCACCUUGGUGUGGCCACUGCAAGAAAUUGU